GACGAACGCUGGCGGCGUGCUUAACACAUGCAAGUCGAACGAUGAAGCUGGAGCUUGCUCCGGUGGAUUAGUGGCGAACGGGUGAGUAACACGUGAGCAAUCUGCCCUUGACUCCGGGAUAACUGCGGGAAACUGUAGCUAAUACCGGAUACGAGGCUCGAAGGCAUCUUCGGGUCUGGAAAGAAUUUCGGUCAAGGAUGAGCUCGCGGCCUAUCAGCUUGUUGGUGAGGUAAUGGCUCACCAAGGCGACGACGGGUAGCCGGCCUGAGAGGGUGACCGGCCACACUGGGACUGAGACACGGCCCAGACUCCUACGGGAUGAAGCAGUGGGGAAUUGGUCACAAUGGGCGAAAGCCUGAUGCAGCAACGCCGCGUGUGGCAUGAAGGCCUUCGGGUUGUAAACCUCUUUUAGCAGGGCAGCAGCGAAAGUGACGGUACCUGCAGAAAAAGCACCGGCUAACUAGGUGCCAGCAGCCGCGGUAA
This 483-nucleotide ribosomal RNA is filed under the name uncultured bacterium. RNAcentral's name for it is "partial 16S ribosomal RNA". It matches the Rfam family "Bacterial small subunit ribosomal RNA", at positions 28 to 523 of the family's 1533-position model. The record is from RNAcentral.